CAGCCCCCUCACUUCUCUCUGCAGGUUACACCACCCCCAACCUGGACCCCAUCCAAUAGGCUCGUGGUCCCUGAUGGUCCUGGACCACUGAUUUGAGGCCUUUCUGCUUCCUUUGAUUCAGUCUUUGGCAGAGACCCAGGAGCAGGAGUCCUUGAUGGCACCUGGCCCUUUCUAGUCACCGACAAGGGAAACCUGAGAAACCAUUCUCAGAAAUGGAACUAAAUUGACACAGCAUUUGUCUCCUCCAGAGGAUACAGCACCAAGGCGCCAUCUUGGAAGUAGACUGGAGCUCUUAGCAGACCAGAACCUGUGGGUGUGUUGAUCUUGUACUUCCUGACCUCCAGAACUGGUUUCACACCUGAGCAGCAUCGAAGGGGCCACUGAAGUGGAGCAGAGGAAUCGUUUGAGGAGAAUCUCAAAG
This 421-nucleotide long non-coding RNA is filed under the name Homo sapiens (human). RNAcentral describes it as "HSALNT0360420". The record is from RNAcentral. Lineage: Eukaryota; Metazoa; Chordata; Mammalia; Primates; Hominidae.